UAAAGCUACUCUCAGUUCGGAUUGUAGGCUGAAACUCGCCUACAUGAAGCUGGAGUUACUAGUAAUCGCAGAUCAGAAUGCUGCGGUGAAUGCGUUCCCGGGUCUUGUACACACCGCCCGUCACACCACGGGAGUUGGAGACGCCCGAAGCCGAUUAUCUAACCUUUUGGAAGAAGUCGUCGAAGGUGGAAUCAAUAACUGGGGUGAAGUCGUAACAAGGUAGCCGUAUCGGAAGGGGCGGCUGGAUCACCUCCUUUCUAAGGAGA
RNAcentral lists this ribosomal RNA (266 nucleotides) under Clostridioides difficile. Its description in RNAcentral is "partial 16S ribosomal RNA". It matches the Rfam family "Bacterial small subunit ribosomal RNA", at positions 1277 to 1533 of the family's 1533-position model. The record is from RNAcentral. Lineage: Bacteria; Bacillati; Bacillota; Clostridia; Peptostreptococcales; Peptostreptococcaceae.